UUAGAGUUUGAUCCUGGCUCAGAUUGAACGCUGGCGGCAGGCUUAACACAUGCAAGUCGAGCGGAGAUGAGGUGCUUGCACCUUAUCUUAGCGGCGGACGGGUGAGUAAUGCUUAGGAAUCUGCCUAUUAGUGGGGGACAACAUUCCGAAAGGAAUGCUAAUACCGCAUACGUCCUACGGGAGAAAGCAGGGGAUCUUCGGACCUUGCGCUAAUAGAUGAGCCUAAGUCGGAUUAGCUAGUUGGUGGGGUAAAGGCCUACCAAGGCGACGAUCUGUAGCGGGUCUGAGAGGAUGAUCCGCCACACUGGGACUGAGACACGGCCCAGACUCCUACGGGAGGCAGCAGUGGGGAAUAUUCGACAAUGGGGGGAACCCUGAUCCAGCCAUGCCGCGUGUGUGAAGAAGGCCUUAUGGUUGUAAAGCACUUUAAGCGAGGAGGAGGCUACUGAGACUAAUACUCUUGGAUAGUGGACGUUACUCGCAGAAUAAGCACCGGCUAACUCUGUGCCAGCAGCCGCGGUAAUACAGAGGGUGCGAGCGUUAAUCGGAUUUACUGGGCGUAAAGCGUGCGUAGGCGGCUUUUUAAGUCGGAUGUGAAAUCCCCGAGCUUAACUUGGGAAUUGCAUUCGAUACUGGGAAGCUAGAGUAUGGGAGAGGAUGGUAGAAUUCCAGGUGUAGCGGUGAAAUGCGUAGAGAUCUGGAGGAAUACCGAUGGCGAAGGCAGCCAUCUGGCCUAAUACUGACGCUGAGGUACGAAAGCAUGGGAGCAA
This 770-nucleotide ribosomal RNA is filed under the name Acinetobacter sp. CUL-LAN15K15. RNAcentral describes it as "bacterial SSU rRNA". It matches the Rfam family "Bacterial small subunit ribosomal RNA", at positions 1 to 771 of the family's 1533-position model. The record is from RNAcentral. Lineage: Bacteria; Pseudomonadati; Pseudomonadota; Gammaproteobacteria; Moraxellales; Moraxellaceae.